Lachnoclostridium sp. An14 is the source of this 118-nucleotide non-coding RNA. NCBI's taxonomy places the organism in Bacteria, Bacillati, Bacillota, Clostridia, Lachnospirales, Lachnospiraceae. The record is from Rfam.
GAAGGAAGGCCCUUCGGCAGGAACUGAACAGGCAGGCCUGCCAAAUCGCUCUAGUGCUGCUGUGGUUCAGGUCAUGGUAGUGAGCGACUAGAGAAAAGGCUGCGGAAUAGUAGUCAGA